UCCUGAAAUGCAGGUUCUCCUAGCCACC
This 28-nucleotide non-coding RNA is filed under the name Mus musculus (house mouse). The record is from RNAcentral. Lineage: Eukaryota; Metazoa; Chordata; Mammalia; Rodentia; Muridae.